Molecule: long non-coding RNA, 617 nt
Organism: Homo sapiens (human)
Lineage: Eukaryota; Metazoa; Chordata; Mammalia; Primates; Hominidae
Source: Ensembl
CAGAUGGACAAAUGCUAGAGUCAGCACCUGUCUGUGGGGGCGCCCUUGGCCUGGGCGCUGGACCUAGGCCAUCAGGACUGGAGAGCCUUCUUCUCUUCUGGCCAGAGAAAGAGCAAAGGGUGGCUUCCUGACAGGUCCGGAGCUGGCACAGCACAACAGAGCCUAGAAAAUCACUAGCAGGGCUGAGCUCGGGGUUCCACCGCUGCAGCCUUCCUGUUGGACCCAGUCUGCUCAAGGACUCCCUCACAGCCCAGUGCUUUCUGUUCACCCCGGGGCGCUCCCAGCCCAGCCUCCUAGCCUCAAGCCGGGCACGACAGCUGCGGGCACAGGGAGCAAUCGCCUGGAGCCAGAGGGGGCAACGCCAGCCCAAGGGCAAAUGGGCAACCCUGUGCAAAAGGCUCUGGCAACCAGAUCAUCUACUUUAGAAGAAAGGAGAAGAAAAAGAGCCCCCAGGAGAGGAAGUAGCCCCUAACCCGACUGACAAGCAAUCCGUUCGCAAAGACAGAAGGGCCUUCAGUGAAUUGGUUUCAAAGUGCUUGAUUUCUUAAAACCAGAACAAUUGAUCAUUAGAGAACUGAUUAAGCUACAGCCGCUGUUGAAUAAAAGGUAAAAAUAAA